GAUGCGGAAGACGCCGGAGGAUCGCGAAGUGGACCCGGAGCAGCCGGAAUAGGUAAGCGAACCCUGCCCGGGAUGCUUAAACUGCUAUCCGACAGCAGCUUAAGCAUUUUGCGCUGUCGGAUAGCAGUUAAUGCGAUGGCCCCGACAUAGAAAAGCAUCGUAUGUCGAUGCGGACAUAGACAUGCGAUGGCCUCUGAGAGGCCAUCGUAUGUCGAUUUUAUCAUAUGUCGGGGCGAUCGCAUGUCGGGGGGUUACUGUACACAGUAAUUUCAUAGUACAGGAAUAAUAUACUGAAUGAUGUCACAGUACAGGAAUAAUACACAGUGAUGUCACAGUACAGGGAUAAUGGGAUAAUGCACAGUAAUUUCACAGUACAGAAAUAAUACACAGUGAUGUCACAGUACAGGAAUAAUACACAGUGACAUCACAGUACAGGGAUAAUACACAGUGAUGUCACAGUGCAGGAAUAAUACACAGUGAUGUCACAGUACAGGGAUAAUACACACAGUGAUGUUACAGUACAGGGAUAAUACAUACAGUGAUGUUACAGUGCAGGGAUAAUACACAGUGAUGUCACAGUACAGGGAUAAUACAUACAGUGAUUGAAAGGUUGUAUCAGGGCAUGCUGUGAGUUGUAGUUAGUGAAAGGUUGUAUCAGGGCAUGCUGUGAGUUGUAGUUAGUGAAAGGUUGUAUCAGGGCAUGCUGUGAGUUGUAGUUAGUGAAAGGCUGCACUAGAGUUCUCCUUUAUUAUUGUUUUAUUCUCUUUCUUUCUUAUCUCCUUCUUCUCGUUCUCAGUCUCCUCAAGGUCGUGUUCCUAAUAAGUUACAUUUCCUGUAACUAAAGUUGCUUGCUAAACAAUUUCACUAUCUGCUAAUUGGCGCUAUGUACCCUGGGAAGAAGUGUGUAAAAUCAAAACAAUUAUAUCACCUUUUAGAUGUGUCCACAUUUUUAUUGGUCAAUGUAAAUACGCUUUUUAUCCAUGUCUACAUUUUUAUUGGUCAAUGUAAAUACGCUUUUUAUUCGUGUCUACAUUUUAAUUGGAACCAACUCAUUCCUUCGAAGUGGGAGACCUAGUACUGGUCAAAGAACUGUGAAGAAAGAAGUCCCAGGCUGACUUUUCCUACGGUCCCCCAGCCUCUGUGGUAGCAGUAACCCGCACAGCUGUACUCACCGACGAUUCCCCUACCUGGAUCCACGCCACUAGGAUCAAGCUGUACCAGAAGAAAGCAGUAAAAGGGGUAAUAACGGGAGCAGACAGCUUUGACCUGAAGACCCAACCAGAGGUACUAACGGGAGCAGACAGCUCUGACCUGAAGACCCAACCAGAGGUACUAACGGGGACAGACAGCCCUGACCUCCAUCUCCUAGCGAAGUUUGAAGAGUUCUGGAACCAUGUGAAAAAAAAAAAACACUGCCUGGCACUCCCAUCAUGGUCAAUAACCUUAUUGACUUUAUUGACUAUUAGCUGCACUCAGGGGCAAGUAGGCAACACUUGGGAGGGCGGGAUCCCUGUUCUAUGGUAUAACUCCACAUCCUCGAGUGCUGUUUCCUGGCUUAUCCACCCCCCCCUCCCUGCCUAAUGUACACAUGUCCUACUAUAGUAAGUGUUUACAGUGAUAGGUAUAGUACUGUUGAUUGUUGCUUUCAUUGCCAUGUGCGUCUUCCCCUGUUUCUGAAAAAUCCUUU
This is a long non-coding RNA of Hyla sarda, 1687 nucleotides long. RefSeq lists it as uncharacterized. The transcript is spliced from 2 exons. Lineage: Eukaryota; Metazoa; Chordata; Amphibia; Anura; Hylidae. The record is from RefSeq and is a predicted model, not a curated record.